This is a non-coding RNA of Biomphalaria pfeifferi, 291 nucleotides long. The record is from the annotation of a GenBank genome assembly. Lineage: Eukaryota; Metazoa; Mollusca; Gastropoda; Planorbidae.
UUAUAAAAGGAACUUAUAUACUUUAUUUACAUGAAACCAAAACAACAGUAAUAAAACUAAAUAUACACACUACUAAACGAUUGAUCAAACCUACCUAACUGAACCUAACAAAUAAAGCAGCUAUUUGGAAAAACUACAACAGUAAGCUACUUGCAGCAGCAAUAAUUACUACAGCAGAUAUGGGGCAACAGCUAUAAGGCAACAGUAAUAACUGCGGCAGACAGUUAAGCAGUAAUAACUGUGGCAGACAGUUAGGCAGUAAUAACUGCGGCAGACAGUUAGGCAGGAAUU